GGGAAUAUUGGACAAUGGGGGCAACCCUGAUCCAGCAAUGCCGCGUGUGUGAAGAAGGUCUUCGGAUUGUAAAGCACUUUCGACGGGGACGAUGAUGACGGUACCCGUAGAAGAAGCCCCGGCUAACUUCGUGCCAGCAGCCGCGGUAAUACGAAGGGGGCUAGCGUUGCUCGGAAUGACUGGGCGUAAAGGGCGUGUAGGCGGUUUACACAGUCAGAUGUGAAAUCCCCGGGCUUAACCUGGGAGCUGCAUUUGAUACGUGUAGACUAGAGUGUGAGAGAGGGUUGUGGAAUUCCCAGUGUAGAGGUGAAAUUCGUAGAUAUUGGGAAGAACACCGGUGGCGAAGGCGGCAACCUGGCUCAUGACUGACGCUGAGGCGCGAAAGCGUGGGGAGCAAACAGGAUUAGAUACCCUGGUAGUCCACGCUGUAAACGAUGUGUGCUAGAUGUUGGGUAACUUUGUUAUUCAGUGUCGCAGUUAACGCGUUAAGCACACCGCCUGGGGAGUACGGCCGCAAGGUUGAA
RNAcentral lists this ribosomal RNA (524 nucleotides) under uncultured bacterium. Its description in RNAcentral is "partial 16S ribosomal RNA". It matches the Rfam family "Bacterial small subunit ribosomal RNA", at positions 357 to 898 of the family's 1533-position model. The record is from RNAcentral.